GACGUAGGGCGCGAGCGUUGUCCGGAUUUAUUGGGCGUAAAGAGCUCGUAGGCGGCUUGUCGCGUCGACUGUGAAAUCUCAGGGCUCAACUCUGACAUUGCAGUCGAUACGGGCAGGCUAGAGUUCGGUAGGGGAGACUGGAAUUCCUGGUGUAGCAGUGAAAUGCGUAGAUAUCAAGUGGAACACCAGUGGCGAAGGCGAGUCUCUGGACAUUUCCUGACGCUGAGGCACGAAAGCCAGGGGAGCAAACGGG
Molecule: ribosomal RNA, 253 nt
Filed under: uncultured bacterium
Lineage: Bacteria
Description: partial 16S ribosomal RNA
Rfam family: Bacterial small subunit ribosomal RNA
Source: RNAcentral